UCCGGUAACAUUACUGGUGGGGCUACACCCGUUCCCAUUCCGAAUACGGAAGUUAAGCCCGCCGAGGUCGAUGGUACUAUGGUCUCACGGCCAUGGGAGAGUAGAACGUUACCGGUU
Molecule: ribosomal RNA, 117 nt
Filed under: Candidatus Omnitrophota bacterium
Lineage: Bacteria; Pseudomonadati; Candidatus Omnitrophota
Source: RNAcentral